GGUUAAGUGACUAAGCGUACACGGUGGAUGCCUUGGCAGUCAGAGGCGAUGAAGGACGUAGUAACUUGCGAUAAGCCCAGAUUAGGUAGUAACAACCAUUUGAGUCUGGGAUUUCCGAAUGGGGAAACCCACUUGCAUAAGCAAGUAUCGCUGCGUGAAUACAUAGCGCA
Molecule: ribosomal RNA, 170 nt
Filed under: Vibrio parahaemolyticus
Lineage: Bacteria; Pseudomonadati; Pseudomonadota; Gammaproteobacteria; Vibrionales; Vibrionaceae
Description: partial 23S ribosomal RNA
Rfam family: Bacterial large subunit ribosomal RNA
Source: RNAcentral